This 624-nucleotide ribosomal RNA is filed under the name uncultured bacterium. Its description in RNAcentral is "bacterial SSU rRNA". The stretch from base 1 to 523 matches the Rfam family "Bacterial small subunit ribosomal RNA", at positions 338 to 873 of the family's 1533-position model. The record is from RNAcentral.
CCUACGGGAGGCAGCAGUGGGGAAUAUUGCGCAAUGGGCGAAAGCCUGACGCAGCAACGCCGCGUGGGGGAUGAAGGCCUUCGGGUUGUAAACCUCUUUCAGCAGGGAAGAAGCGAAAGUGACGGUACCUGCAGAAGAAGCACCGGCUAACUACGUGCCAGCAGCCGCGGUAAUACGUAGGGUGCAAGCGUUGUCCGGAUUUAUUGGGCGUAAAGAGCUCGUAGGCGGUUAGUCACGUCGGAUGUGAAAUCCCGGAGCUUAACUCCGGGCCUGCAUUCGAUACGGGCUGACUCGAGUGUUGUAGGGGAGACUGGAACUCCUGGUGUAGCGGUGAAAUGCGCAGAUAUCAGGAAGAACACCGGUGGCGAAGGCGGGUCUCUGGGCAACUACUGACGCUGAGGAGCGAAAGCGUGGGGAGCAAACAGGAUUAGAUACCCUGGUAGUCCACGCCGUAAACGGUGGGCGCUAGGUGUGGGGAACAUUCCACGUUCUCUGCGCCGCNGCUACGCAUAAGACGCCCGCCGUCGGGAGGUACGGCCGCGAGGACGUAAACGUACGAAACGGUAAAGUUAGGUACGGCGUUGUAGACGUUGCCGAACGGACGACCGACGAGGGGAGGUUAGG